RNAcentral lists this long non-coding RNA (557 nucleotides) under Elaeis guineensis (African oil palm). Its description in RNAcentral is "long non-coding RNA (EGUI_LNC024468)". Lineage: Eukaryota; Viridiplantae; Streptophyta; Magnoliopsida; Arecales; Arecaceae. The record is from RNAcentral.
CUUUCUUCGUCCCUCUCGCAAGAAGAGAACUUCUGUUGGGAUUUCUAAAACUGAAGAGGGAUUAGGGUUCAGAGAAUGAGCCAAGCAGUGAGAUCGUGAAAUCCACAAGAAGAUCCGACUCUAAGCAAAGCAUCGGGAAUCACCGUGACAAUCGGGAUCUACUCUGAGUACAUCAGCACCGCCUCCAACACCGCCACCGCUACUGAGGGCGGUGAUGGUGUCGAGGCUGACGGCCCUCAAUGAAGCUCCGAGAAGAGUGAAUAGCCAGAGGGUCGGUGGGUUCACUAGCGACGAAGAGGGAGAGCUUGAGGAAGGAGGAGUCCGGCAUGGCGACGGGACUGAAGAGGAGAGAGCUUGAGGCAAUAGAGAGAGAGCUUGAGGAAGGAGUCAGGCAUGGCAACGGGGACUAAAAAGGAGUUAGUCUCCACUUGCCAUCUGCCAAGACUUUCACGGCACCGCCUCUGGAGCCUCUUCUCCUCCCUCGGCUUAGGUGUCAGGUGGGAGGGACUGGAGACGGGUGCGUGGGUGGUGGUGGUAUUUGGGCCAGUGGGUGGGCC